UACGUAGGGUGCGAGCGUUAAUCGGAAUUACUGGGUGUAAAGCGCACGUAGGCGGCUUUCUAAGUCGGGGGUGAAAUCCUGGAGCUCAACUCCAGAACUGCCUUCGAUACUGGAGAGCUCGAGUCCGGGAGGGGUGAGUGGAACUGCGAGUGUAGAGGUGAAAUUCGUAGAUAUUCGCAAGAACACCAGUGGCGAAGGCGGCUCACUGGCCCGGUACUGACGCUGAGGUGCGAAAGCGUGGGGAGCAAACAGG
Molecule: ribosomal RNA, 253 nt
Filed under: uncultured bacterium
Lineage: Bacteria
Description: partial 16S ribosomal RNA
Rfam family: Bacterial small subunit ribosomal RNA
Source: RNAcentral